UACGUAGGGUGCGAGCGUUAAUCGGAAUUACUGGGCGUAAAGGGCGCGUAGGCGGUUAUAUGAGUGUGAUGUGAAAGCCCCGGGCUUAACCUGGGAAGUGCAUCGCAAACGAUAUGACUGGAGUAUAUGAGAGGGUGGCGGAAUUUCCGGUGUAGCGGUGAAAUGCGUAGAGAUCGGAAGGAACGUCGAUGGCGAAGGCAGCCACCUGGCAUAAUACUGACGCUGAGGCGCGAAAGCGUGGGGAGCGAACAGG
RNAcentral lists this ribosomal RNA (253 nucleotides) under uncultured bacterium. RNAcentral describes it as "partial 16S ribosomal RNA". It matches the Rfam family "Bacterial small subunit ribosomal RNA", at positions 524 to 776 of the family's 1533-position model. The record is from RNAcentral.